GAUGAACGCUGGCGGCGUGCCUAAUACAUGCAAGUCGAGCGAACAGAUGAGGAGCUUGCUCCUCUGACGUUAGCGGCGGACGGGAGAGUAACACGUGGAUAACCUACCUAUAAGACUGGGAUAACUUCGGGAAACCGGAGCUAAUACCGGAUAAUAUAUUGAACCGCAUGGGUCAAUAGUGAAAGACGGUUUUGCUGUCACUUAUAGAUGGAUCCGCGCCGCAUUAGCUAGUUGGUAAGGUAACGGCUUACCAAGGCAACGAUGCGUAGCCGACCUGAGAGGGUGAUCGGCCACACUGGAACUGAGACACGGUCCAGACUCCUACGGGAGGCAGCAGUAGGGAAUCUUCCGCAAUGGGCGAGAGCCUGACGGAGCAACGCCGCGUGAGUGAUGAAGGUCUUCGGAUCGUAAAACUCUGUUAUUAGGGAAGAACAAAUGUGUAAGUAACUAUGCACGUCUUGACGGUACCUAAUCAGGAAGCCACGGCUAACUACGUG
Molecule: ribosomal RNA, 497 nt
Filed under: uncultured bacterium
Lineage: Bacteria
Description: partial 16S ribosomal RNA
Rfam family: Bacterial small subunit ribosomal RNA
Source: RNAcentral